GCGUGCUGUGUGGAAAGGUACUCUUUCUGAUUGCUGUGGCGCUGUCUCAAGCAGUGCCAGAACACCACAGGCUGGACACUGCGCUUGUUUCUGUGCUGUGAUGAGUGCUGCGUGCUGUCCACUGUAUGCUGCUGUCCCAGUUUGGCGCCACAGCCUCGGCAGAGCCAUCUAGCGGCCGGAGACGAAACCUCGGAAUGUUCGCAAUCAGAACGUGGGCGAAACACCUUUCUAAUUAGUGUGAGGCACAAUAUAUCCCCAAAAAGUAGAACUGUGGAAAAUUAGUACACUGACUAUGCAUUUAAUAGUGUUAAAAUAGAAGUUUUAUCAAAUACAUGUGCUAUUACGUGCCUAAAGAACAAAAUGGGCGUGCGAGAAGAUCCCAAAAGAUGUUUGUGUAGUGGUUGUUGAAGAGUGUCGAGCGAGACCCGCUGGCGAGUGCACUGCCGCUCUUUUACUGUGUUUUGUGCCUAAAAUUGUUGUCACUCUCAAGUGUUAUUCUGCCACAACGUGUAACUCGCUGGCAGCUGUGUUAGUACGUAGUUGUUGCUCAGAGGAAGCGUCGCUGCAGUCCAGGAGAAGCAAGUACGGGCAAUUUUUGCAACAUUACGGGGGCCAGGCCAACCUCUUGCUCGAUGUGUGCCGGUCGCAUUGAGUGUUUCUUACGAAUCUGCACAGAGCAUCUUUCGUUUUCCAAACAAGACUAUUUGUGAUUGUGCAGCUCAUCUGUACCCUCCCCAC
Molecule: long non-coding RNA, 738 nt
Organism: Penaeus indicus
Lineage: Eukaryota; Metazoa; Arthropoda; Malacostraca; Decapoda; Penaeidae
Exons: 3
Source: RefSeq, a predicted model, not a curated record